GGGGGGGGGGGGGGGGGGGCGUGGGGCGGGCGGGGCGGACGGGGGGGGCGGGGCGGGGGGCGGGCGGGUGCGUGCCGCGUGGGAACCUGCCCUUAGGGUCGGAAUCACUCCCCGGAAGGGGUGCUAAUACCGGAUAAUGUCUUCGGACCAAAGAUUUAUCGCCUUUGGAUGGGCCCGCGUUGGCUUAGCUAGUUGGUAGGGUAAAAGCCUACCAAGGCGACGAUCCAUAGCUGGUCUGAGAGGAUGAUCAGCCACACUGGGACUGAGACACGGCCCAGACUCCUACGGGAGGCAGCAGUGGGGAAUAUUGGACAAUGGGCGAAAGCCUGAUCCAGCAAUGCCGCGUGAGUGAUGAAGGCCUUAGGGUUGUAAAGCUCUUUUACCCGGGAUGAUAAUGACAGUACCGGGAGAAUAAGCUCCGGCUAACUCCGUG
Molecule: ribosomal RNA, 433 nt
Filed under: uncultured bacterium
Lineage: Bacteria
Description: partial 16S ribosomal RNA
Rfam family: Bacterial small subunit ribosomal RNA
Source: RNAcentral